UUUUUUUUUUUUUAUGUUCAGAUCUUUGAAACUCAUAUUGUGAUUGUUUGUUUUUAUCAUUUAGGUUGAGAGAAGCUUGAUCUUAGCUUUUGAAGUGGUGGUUGGUUCUGUCGGUAGUGUUAGUGGUGGUACGCUUUGUUCAUCCUAUGAUUGUGAAGGGAGCAAACUAGUUGAAAUGAUAAACCCAUAUCUUAGAUUUCUUUGUUCUUGUGUUUUCUUUGUCUUCAUUUGUUAAAGAAAUUGAAAGGAAUGUUUUUUUUUCUUUUCUGAUUUUGGUUGAUAAUGGAAAUUUGAAAGGGUGAAAGCUUUUAGUAAUCCCUAUUUCGUAUUACCUUUCGAACAUAUGCAGUAUAUGAAAAAAAUUGUUGUGUGAUAUGACACACUUCCCACAUGGCUUGACAGCUAAACUAUAGGAAGACUUAUACUAACCCUCAAGUGGAAGCUGAUGAUGAAAGACAUGGAUCCUACUCAAUUUCAUAAACAUAUGCUCAAGCGAAUGAAAUAUAUUCAAAUGUACAAUGACUAUUGGUUGGUGGUGCACACAUCGAAAGAGUUUGAAGCUUGGUCGGCUAAAAAAUUGAGCAUAAGGAAACAUAGUCCAAGCAGUUCUUUGGUGGUGUUUGCAGAAAAGGAUCAUUGUCGUCUCAUGGAGCUGAACUCGAUAAUGACACCCCACAAGGAAGGAAACAAAUUGCAUUUUCUGUCUUGCCUGUUGAGCUCUGAUAACUGUCACACUAGUUUGGAUUGAAAGCAAUAAAGGUUGAGAAUUGAGUUUUUGAAUCCACACUGCAUAAAUAUUUUUGUUGAUCCGAAUCUUUUUUGUUGGCACAUUUAACCGUAUAGGAAUAACUUUCCCACUGGAAGCACACUUAUAACCAUAAUCAAGGUUAAAUUUUUACGGUGAUCUCAAUUUUCUUAAAGUACUUGUUGUUGUUGCUAUUCCUCCUUUUUUUAUUGUUGCAAUUCACAACCAUUUCCUAAUUUUUAGUUUCUCAUAGAGUUGGAAACUGACUGAUUGAUGGCUCAUAUGUUUGAUUUUUGUAGGUCUUGGCUGUAGCAUCUUUUAACAAAUGCAGGAGUGCAAGAAAUGCAGUUGCAAGAGUGGCUUGUAGCCUAACUAUGCAACCAAAAGGCUCAACUGAUUGUCUAAUUAAAGUUUCUUAACAGAGCAUUAACUAACAAACAUGCUCAUCCAGUACUAGAGUGCACCUUAAAACAUAUAUAACGGUAAAAAUAGUCUUCGGAGUCCCUUUCAGUUUUAAUAUUUGCUUUUACAGUCAUAUUUUGUUCCAUUUGCGAGAAGGAAUGCUAUGUUGGUUGCUUGAGGGACCAUGUGCAUCAUGUGUGAUAUGAGGGAAUUACCAAAGGUGUGAUGGCUUUGCAAUGAUGACUACUGUAUACUCAUUUGAAUUGUGGGCUAUCAGUAUGGCCUAACUUCAAUAGGGAUAUAAAUGUUGUAAUGUUUGUAAUUGAAGUACAUCCCUGAGAGACAGAGUUUGCAGCUGAUUGUUCGAUUGUGAUUUCUGAUAAUCUUGAGGUUAUUGAAGGAACGCGUUGGUCGUAUGUUUGAUAGUUAGGAUGGAUUGAUGCUUUUCUGAGCACCGUAGUCAAUGCCCUACGUUGAUAGUGAAGGUGCCAGCUUCAACGUUAAUUCUCACACUGCCGCAAAAGAUUAUUUCAUAUGUUGGUCCCGUGGUUUAAUGUAUUCUAAUUUAGUGUUUUUAUAUUUGAAUUGGCGGGUUCGAGUCUUCGUUUUAGUCUCGUUUCUGUUUGAUAUGUAUACUGUAAAGUUUUGGUGUUAUGCCAUUAAUAAAGUGAAACUUUCGAGCAAUAUA
Molecule: RNA transcript, 1835 nt
Organism: Papaver somniferum (opium poppy)
Lineage: Eukaryota; Viridiplantae; Streptophyta; Magnoliopsida; Ranunculales; Papaveraceae
Exons: 5
Source: RefSeq, a predicted model, not a curated record